RNAcentral lists this ribosomal RNA (253 nucleotides) under uncultured bacterium. RNAcentral's name for it is "partial 16S ribosomal RNA". It matches the Rfam family "Bacterial small subunit ribosomal RNA", at positions 524 to 776 of the family's 1533-position model. The record is from RNAcentral.
UACAGAGGUCUCAAGCGUUGUUCGGAUUCAUUGGGCGUAAAGGGUGUGUAGGUGGCGCGCUAAGUCGGGUGUGAAAUUUCGGAGCUUAACUCCGAAACUGCAUUCGAUACUGGCGUGCUUGAGGACUGGAGAGGAGACUGGAAUUCAUGGUGUAGCAGUGAAAUGCGCAGAUAUCAGGAAGAACACCCGUGGCGAAGGCGGCUCUCUGGGACGGUACUGACGCUGAGACGCGAAAGCGUGGGGAGCAAACAGG